AUACGGAGGGGGCAAGCGUUAUUCGGAUUUACUGGGCGUAAAGCGCACGUAGGUGGCAUGGUAAGUCACAGGUGAAAGCCCUCGGCUCAACCGAGGAACUGCCUUUGAAACUGCUUUGCUUGAGUCCGGGAGGGGGGAGCGGAAUUCCCAGUGUAGCGGUGAAAUGCGUAGAUACUGGGAGGAACACCGGUGGCGAAGGCGGCUCCCUGGACCGGUACUGACACUGAGGUGCGAAAGCGUGGGUAGCAAACAGGAUUAGAUACCCUGGUAGUCCACGCCGUAAACGAUGGGCACUAGGUGCAGCGGGUGUCGACCCCUGCUGUGCCGUAGUUAACGCAUUAAGUGCCCCGCCUGGGGAGUACGGUCGCAAGGCUGAA
This 377-nucleotide ribosomal RNA is filed under the name uncultured bacterium. RNAcentral's name for it is "bacterial SSU rRNA". It matches the Rfam family "Bacterial small subunit ribosomal RNA", at positions 523 to 898 of the family's 1533-position model. The record is from RNAcentral.